CCAGCUAAGUGCUCACCUUUAGGAACUGUCCAAGGCUCACAGGGGGUCAGACAUCCCCGGGGGGCUCUAGGAGCCCCUAGGGGCUUGCCACAGCUGAGUGCCGCCUAGUGAUGGACUUAAAUUCUGAUGAUACAGAUCACUCUCCAGCCGUUGUCGUGACUAUAGAGCCCACAGAUCAUCAUUCAUCAAGGAAUGUAGCCUUUGACCUCACCAACUACCAGUCAGCAAUGGAAGUCACGAGUGACCCCUUAGAACACCUUCUGAAGGCUAUACCUUCUGAUCUCUCUACCUGUUCCUCCAGCUGUUAUAUCUCCAGCCCUAGUUCUGCAGUGGAUUUAAGUACCGAUAUUUCAUCCUCCUCAUCUGCCAUGGAUAUAGCCACAGAACCCAUAGACAAUCAUUUCACCAUAUUGCUACCCUCUGCGUCCCAGCCUUCACUGAUGGUUAUAGAACAAAGCAUCGACCCCACAACCCUUUACUUAAAGUUUGAUACGACUGAGGUCACACCUCGGGAGUCAGACAUGGAUGUAAAUGAGGUCGCAGGCCACUGCUCAGUCAUGGAUGUAACUAGCAGCACCAACCUACGGAAGAAUUAGAGAAGAGUUCAGGAUCUCUGAUCUCGGGCCUGAGAAGAAAGUGAACAUGAGUCACAGAGAAAGAAAGAGAGAAAGAAAGGACUGGGGCUUGGCCAGUGGCCACGUUCUUUGCACCAGUGAUGGGUGGCAGAGGGUGCUACUGGAUACCAAAGGAAGAAGGAAGCAGUAACAUCUGGAGUGGUGUCUUAUGAUUGGGAUGCUUGAAGCUGAAGCUGUCUCUUCUUCUGAACAUCUGAAGUCUUCUGCCCACCUGUAACCCAAACUCCUCUCCUCCUUCUUGCUCCAUAGAAGGAUCCUUUGCCAGUGUGUCUCUUCUGCGACUCAGAGAAGAAUGGGAAAUCUUUCUUUCCCUUUUUUCCUCCCACCUUGCAGACUUCAGAAGCCACAGAGAGGAAUGUCCAUCAUACUAGCUGCCAAGUGCAUGGAUUUUCAGCCUCUUCUGGAGAGCGAGAAGCUAGGUUCGGGGUGGCCAAGAAGCAGAGAAUGACCUCCAACAUAAUGGAAUAGAUUCAUAUGUUGGCCUUGGGUAUAGGACUUGGUUUACGAAGUCUAGAGUGCUUCAUUAACAGGGGAAGGGUAAUUAGUCGGCUUGUUAUGAAAAAGCAAAGGGGUGCCAAAGUUUGCAGGGGGGGAAUCUCACUGCUGAUCCAUGGAGAAUAUAGGAACUCAGACUCAGGGGUCUCCUUGAAGGCAUCCCACAGGUAUGGGAAAGGCUCCCAUCUGUCCAAUUGGCCAUUUGGCUUUUUUCCGAAACCAGCAAAGCACAUUUAAUGGGGGGAGGGAAAAAGGGGGGCUGCUAUUUUGUCUCAGUAAUACUGUUACACAAAUCAACAUUCCAAUCCACCCACAUGCUUUAAAACUUCCUGGUUAUAAUAAGAACCAUCUCUAAGUUCUCGGACAUUCACGGAGGGGUUUGGUGACGGCUAAGCCUAGGGGCUUGGAGUGGAGCACAAGGGCAUGGGGACAGAGCAGAAGUCUGGAAAUUCUGAUUGCCUGAGUUCCUGAUGUGGUGCCUUGUCAGCUGUUCAUGCUUAGGAAAGAGCCCUAGCAGUCAAGUGAUGGUUCCUCCUUUAAUUAAACUCAAAUCCACAAGCAUUUAUUAUGCACCUACU
This is a long non-coding RNA of Sarcophilus harrisii (Tasmanian devil), 1708 nucleotides long. RefSeq lists it as uncharacterized. The record is from RefSeq and is a predicted model, not a curated record. NCBI's taxonomy places the organism in Eukaryota, Metazoa, Chordata, Mammalia, Dasyuromorphia, Dasyuridae. The transcript has 4 exons.